UUUUCUUUGCAGGCAAUGUGGCAUUGCUAAUUUGAAAAUCAGCAUUUUUGUUGACUCAAAUGCUAUACAGAUGAAUCCUGUCUAACUCUGAGCACAAGUCAGGUUUUCCAAGGAAAAGAAAGCAUCCUCUUAACCCUUUCCUGGCUUGUGGUGGUUUUGAAGGAAAGUAAAUAAUUGCCUCUUUAACAAUCUCAAGGGAAAUACCUGUGAAAGGCUUUGCACAGAUUGAACCCCAGAAUUUUCAUUGUGAGAAACUGCAGCAUUUCAAACCAGAUUUUUGUUUGGCACAGGUAGUCUAGAUGUCUUUUACAUAGGAAUUUCAGUCCAGAGGCACUGGAUAAUUCCAGGUAAGCAUCCAGGAUGGCCACCAUGCUCUUACUGAAAUGGUUUUGCUGGUCCCUCAGCACCCUUCCACUGAGUGCUGAUUCCUCUCUGCCUUCUGUGCACUGGAAAACGUUGACAGUUCGAUCA
Long non-coding RNA from Pseudopipra pipra, 471 nucleotides. RefSeq lists it as uncharacterized. The record is from RefSeq and is a predicted model, not a curated record. The transcript is spliced from 3 exons. Lineage: Eukaryota; Metazoa; Chordata; Aves; Passeriformes; Pipridae.